GAAUCCUGGGGAGCCCGCCCCGCCCCCUGGCUCCCGCACCCUCCAAUGAUUUUGGCCUACAGGGGGAAGUUCCAUCCAAUCAAGUGUCGGAAAACCCGGCCAGUCCCCGAGAGUGUAGCCAAUGGAACACGACUCCGGCAACACACCCGCCCUGAUCCACUAGGAACAAACCUCCCUGAGCUCUGCGGUGGGACCCUGAUCCUGGCGCCCUGAGCAAGUCAAGUCCGGCUGGAGCUGUGUCACAAAGUGAGAGGCUAUCAAGGCAGACUAUACAUCACAGGAAUGAUUUAUUUCUGAAGCUGAAGCACUCAUUGAUAAAACUUGUGACUCUGCAGCUGUCUUGAAGAGAGAAAGAGAGCAAGCUUAAGCAGGGUGAGUGGGAGAGGAAGAAGCAG
This is a long non-coding RNA of Lutra lutra (Eurasian river otter), 395 nucleotides long. RefSeq lists it as uncharacterized. NCBI's taxonomy places the organism in Eukaryota, Metazoa, Chordata, Mammalia, Carnivora, Mustelidae. The record is from RefSeq and is a predicted model, not a curated record. The transcript has 3 exons.